CCCAACUAUCCCUAUUAAUCAUUACGUUGAUCCUAGAAACCAACAAAAUAGAAUCGAACGUCCUAUUUCAUUAUUCCAUGCUAAUGUAUUCAAGCGCGUGCCUGCUUUAAACACUCUAAUUUUUUCAAAGUAACAGUCCUGAUUCCCCACGACACCAAAUUAAUGACAUCAUGGCUCCUCAGAAAGGAGAAACCAAUAACACCAGUACAUACCAGAGGCAUGACCGACGUAUUGAUCCCGAAAUUCAACUACGAGCUUUUUAACUGCAACAACUUUAAUAUACGCUAUUGGAGCUGGAAUUACCGCGGCUGCUGGCACCAGACUUGCCCUCCAA
RNAcentral lists this unclassified non-coding RNA (334 nucleotides) under uncultured Glomerales. RNAcentral describes it as "sequence contains 18S rRNA gene". The record is from RNAcentral. Lineage: Eukaryota; Fungi; Glomeromycota; Glomeromycetes; Glomerales; Glomeraceae. RNAcentral also lists the same sequence under 1 other name.